CUUUGCAUAACUCGGCAUUUGCUCCAAUGCCUCAACCAAUGGUAUAGCCAUCUCAAGCUUGUUCAAUACCUUCAUGAACUUCUUGAACUCCUUCUCUCGCUCAAGAUUCUUAACUUUCUUUCUCCUAGGAAAAGGCAUCCUAGCAUAUGGCGAUUCAUCAACUCCUUUGCCUUUCUCGACCUUCUUACUCUCUUUUUCUUUUAUCUCCC
RNAcentral lists this long non-coding RNA (209 nucleotides) under Trifolium pratense (red clover). RNAcentral describes it as "long non-coding RNA (TPRA_LNC007068)". The record is from RNAcentral. Lineage: Eukaryota; Viridiplantae; Streptophyta; Magnoliopsida; Fabales; Fabaceae.